This 454-nucleotide long non-coding RNA is filed under the name Prunus persica (peach). Its description in RNAcentral is "long non-coding RNA (PPER_LNC000904)". The record is from RNAcentral. Lineage: Eukaryota; Viridiplantae; Streptophyta; Magnoliopsida; Rosales; Rosaceae.
AUGGUCCCCCAACUAUUGCUCUAGUAUCAUUUUGGUCAACCAACUAAAAUUUUCAUUUCAAACGUCCUUAAACUUUUUAUUUUGUGCCAAGAUGAUCCAUCCGUGACAGAUUUCGUGACUUCUAAUCACGCGAUAGCCACGUGACUGAGUUUUGAAGGAUAUAUGUGACUUUUUGAGAAGCUCUGUCGAAGGGUAUGACUGAAAUGGUCCCUCAACUAUUGCUCCAGUAUCAUUUUGGUCCACCAACUAAAAUUUUCAUUUGAACCGUCCUUCCACUUUUUUUUUUAUUUGUAUCAAGAUGGUCCUAUUGUUAAAGUCCGUCAAUUUUAUUGUUAUUUAUUUUUUUUAUCUUCUUUUAAAAAAAUUAAUUAAUUUAAACAAUAGAGAAAAAAUAUAUAUUACUUUUUAAGUCUAUGUCAUAAAAAAAAAUUAAAUAAAAUUAAAUAAAAAAAAG